GCUAGCAGGGGCCUCUGGCCUUGCUGAGGGUCCCUGUUUCCCCUUUUCCUUCCUUUUCACCCAACAAAACCCUGCUUUACUCACCCUUCAAACCAUCUAUGAGCCUAAAUUGUCGUGGUCGUGGAAUGGACAAGGACCCAGUCUUUAGCUGAACUAAGGGAAAGUCCUGCUUUUUGGCGCGCAACAGGGGAGCUCAAGAAACAGGCCUCACUCACGGCAUAUGGAACUAACCACGCCCCUAACUAAGAAGGCACACCUUAGUUGCAGUUAGCACACAAUUAAAGCAACUCUCCAAGUUUUACCUUAAAGUUCAAAAUUGCUAGGAGUUGAAACUACUAGAAAUAUAUUUACAUGCAAGAGUCAAAGAAACUUUGAACUAUUUAUGGCCUUUAAUAAUUAAGUAAGGUAUACUCCUGUGAUCAAGACUUGGAGCAUAUUUGUUUCUCUCUGCCUGGUUCCUCUAGAAAUUGGAAACUAUCAGAACAGAGACCAACUCCGUUUCCCGAUCCCUUUGCAAUCUGCAUUGAACCAUGAGUCAAGUUCUUGAUAAAGGAGUGAAAAUGGUAAGUCUAAAGCAAUGAAAAGCUGCUGUAUUGACUACACAUGCCUUCAUUUCUUCUACCCUGCUUCUUUCAUGCCUGCUUAUCUGAAUGACACCAGGAUGACAUUUAAGGCACAUCUGAAGAUGGGGAAACCACAGCACAGAAUAAGGCUGGGCCCUUGAAUCAAUAAAUGAAGGAGAACUACUCAAGAGAACAAAACCACCAGCAAUAUCCACCUGUAUUUGUCUUUUCAUAAUGUGUGACACAUGUGCUCAUGGAUUAUUGUCCGAAGCAAGACAUGUGACCAAGCCUAACAUCAACUGGGUGAAGAGCUAUAUGUUCCUUUCUCAAGAGGCACUACAAGUGACAUGCCACUGGGCAGAAUAUUUAUGUGUGAAUCAACUAGAGGAAUGAACAUCACCUAAAGACAAAACAGGAUCUUUGUAUACAUCUUCUGGGAAGGAGUUGUUAUCAUUUCCACAAGGCCAAUUGCAUCAUUCGGAUAAAAACAUUAUAUUGUUGUCUUUAUUUGGAAGUAAAAUAUAUUUUAAAGAGAUGUGAAUGAUUAUAAAGUUUAUAAUAGGUAUACUGUGAUGACUUUGUCAAACGUUAACUUGACUAGGCUGAAUGAUAUUUCCUAGAAUUCCCUUUCCUUUGUUUUCUAUUAAAGAGGGAAUGUUUUCUGGUAGACCAUGUAAUAGAGAUAGAAGUUCUUCUUUUUUACGCAUUCAUUCAUUAUUAUAGUUUAAUGAAUCAUAAAUGAAAAAAAAACCCUCUUCCAGAAGCAUUUACUAACACUUUCAGGUAUAUGAGAAUGGAAUAAUUUUCAGAAACUGGGCUUUCUGUAUUUUCCCUGUUGGCUAUUUCAGACCAGUUCCCGACCCUUCUCCAUCCUUCUCCAUGCCCUGGGAAACCGACUUUUAUAGACUGCAAAAGUAUGCUCUCUUACACUUUGGUUUCUUAUUGAGGUCAAAUAAUAAAAAUCACUGCCAAAAAAUGG
This is a long non-coding RNA of Homo sapiens (human), 1542 nucleotides long. Ensembl annotates it as long intergenic non-protein coding RNA 1515. The record is from Ensembl. Lineage: Eukaryota; Metazoa; Chordata; Mammalia; Primates; Hominidae.